RNAcentral lists this ribosomal RNA (487 nucleotides) under Escherichia coli. RNAcentral's name for it is "bacterial SSU rRNA". It matches the Rfam family "Bacterial small subunit ribosomal RNA", at positions 1050 to 1533 of the family's 1533-position model. Lineage: Bacteria; Pseudomonadati; Pseudomonadota; Gammaproteobacteria; Enterobacterales; Enterobacteriaceae. The record is from RNAcentral.
UGUCGUCAGCUCGUGUUGUGAAAUGUUGGGUUAAGUCCCGCAACGAGCGCAACCCUUAUCCUUUGUUGCCAGCGGUCCGGCCGGGAACUCAAAGGAGACUGCCAGUGAUAAACUGGAGGAAGGUGGGGAUGACGUCAAGUCAUCAUGGCCCUUACGACCAGGGCUACACACGUGCUACAAUGGCGCAUACAAAGAGAAGCGACCUCGCGAGAGCAAGCGGACCUCAUAAAGUGCGUCGUAGUCCGGAUUGGAGUCUGCAACUCGACUCCAUGAAGUCGGAAUCGCUAGUAAUCGUGGAUCAGAAUGCCACGGUGAAUACGUUCCCGGGCCUUGUACACACCGCCCGUCACACCAUGGGAGUGGGUUGCAAAAGAAGUAGGUAGCUUAACCUUCGGGAGGGCGCUUACCACUUUGUGAUUCAUGACUGGGGUGAAGUCGUAACAAGGUAACCGUAGGGGAACCUGCGGUUGGAUCACCUCCUUACCUU